AUACGGAGGGUGCAAGCGUUAAUCGGAAUUACUGGGCGUAAAGGGCGCGUAGGCGGUCUAUCAAGUCAGGUGUGAAAUCCCACGGCUCAACCGUGGAGGUGCAUCUGAAACUGAUAGACUUGAGUAUGGGAGAGGAAAGUGGAAUUCCCGGUGUAGAGGUGAAAUUCGUAGAUAUCGGGAGGAACACCAGUGGCGAAGGCGACUUUCUGGACAAAUACUGACGCUGAGGCGCGAAAGCGUGGGGAGCAAACGGGAUUAGAAACCCUAGUAGUCC
This 274-nucleotide ribosomal RNA is filed under the name uncultured bacterium. RNAcentral describes it as "partial 16S ribosomal RNA". It matches the Rfam family "Bacterial small subunit ribosomal RNA", at positions 523 to 796 of the family's 1533-position model. The record is from RNAcentral.